GGCCUGGGGGGGCCUAACCAUGCAUGUCGAGCGGUAGAGAGAGGCUUGCUUCUCUUGGGAGCGGCGGAGGGGUGAGGAAGGCCUAGGAAUCUGCCUGGGAGUGGGGGAGAACGUUCACUACUGAACGCUAAUACCGCAUACGUCCAACGGCAAAAAGCAAGGGAGCUUCAGCCCUUGGCCUCUCGCAUUAGCAUGUGUCGGAUUAGCAAUAUGUAGAGGGAGGGGCACUGGCUGGCCACGAGGACGAUCCGGACCUGGACGGAGAUCAUGCCCACUGGCACUGAAACUGAGACCCGACCCAUACUCCUACCGGAGGUGGCGAAGGUUGAUAUUGGACAAUGGGCCUGAUCCAGAUGUGGCCAUGACGCGUGUGAGGACUACGCCUUAUAGAUGACUUGCACUUGCGAGGAAGAGCAAUUACCUAGUGUUUAUAUGACAUUGCGUUGCCGUUACUCUAAGAACAGGCUAACUCUGUGCCGUGCCCGCAGCCGCGGUAAUACGGAGGGUGUUAAUGUUAAUUACAAUUACUGGGCGUCGCGCGCACGCGUUUGUUUUGUUAAUGUGAUGUCCCCUCCCUCGCGCUUGACAUGUGAAUUGCAUUUUGGACUGACUAAACUAUAGUCUAGUAUAGUGGGAUUUCAAUGCCUGGUGUAGCGGUGAAAUGCUAUAAGAUCUAGAAGAAUAGCCGUGGGCAACGCCUCCCCCUAGUACAAAAACUGACGCUCCGGUGCCAUGGCGAGCGGACCAGAUUAGAUACCAUAGUCUGCCACUCCGUACAGUAAAUCAUGUAGAUUUGGAAGGUCUGCCCCUUAUGCGGGCUUACCGGAAGCAUUGCGUUAAAUCCACCGGCCAGGGCAGUCCCGACGCUAAAGAUUCAACUCAAAUUGACUUGACGGCGAGACCAGCCGUGCAGCAGUGAUCAUGUGGAUUAAUUCGAUGCAUCGAAACGUAUACCAUGGCCUUCGUCAUGCACAUGCACAUAACUUUUCCAUAGAUGGCC
Molecule: ribosomal RNA, 1000 nt
Filed under: Methylomarinum sp. SYC24
Lineage: Bacteria; Pseudomonadati; Pseudomonadota; Gammaproteobacteria; Methylococcales; Methylococcaceae
Description: partial 16S ribosomal RNA
Rfam family: Bacterial small subunit ribosomal RNA
Source: RNAcentral